AUUGAACGCUGGCGGCAGGCCUAACACAUGCGAGUCGAGCGGAUGAAGGGAGCUUGCUCCUGGAUUCAGCGGCGGACGGGUGAGUAAUGCCUAGGAAUCUGCCUGGUAGUGGGGGAUAACGUCCGGAAACGGGCGCUAAUACCGCAUACGUCCUGAGGGAGAAAGUGGGGGAUCUUCGGACCUCACGCUAUCAGAUGAGCCUAGAUCGGAUUAGCUAGUUGGUGGGGUAAAGGCCUACCAAGGCGACGAUCCGUAACUGGUCUGAGAGGAUGAUCAGUCACACUGGAACUGAGACACGGUCCAGACUCCUACGGGAGGCAGCAGUGGGGAAUAUUGGACAAUGGGCGAAAGCCUGAUCCAGCCAUGCCGCGUGUGUGAAGAAGGUCUUCGGAUUGUAAAGCACUUUAAGUUGGGAGGAAGGGCAGUAAGUUAAUACCUUGCUGUUUUGACGUUACCAACAGAAUAAGCACCGGCUAACUUCGUG
This 484-nucleotide ribosomal RNA is filed under the name uncultured bacterium. RNAcentral's name for it is "partial 16S ribosomal RNA". It matches the Rfam family "Bacterial small subunit ribosomal RNA", at positions 30 to 507 of the family's 1533-position model. The record is from RNAcentral.